AAUAAGUGUAGUUUUGCAAUAUUCAUCUUCAACAUUUGACUGUUCGUCUUUUGUGAAAAAAUUUUAUAAUUACUAUUUUUAUUGUUAUUAUAUGAUAAAAUAUGAAUAGUACUUUAUGUGUGACUAUUUUUUAAAAAAAAUCAUAAACAAACGUUGGACACGGAUUUUCACGGCUGCACCUGAG
RNAcentral lists this microRNA precursor (184 nucleotides) under Oryza rufipogon (brownbeard rice). Its description in RNAcentral is "MIR812 microRNA precursor family". It matches the Rfam family "MIR812 microRNA precursor family". The record is from Rfam by way of RNAcentral. Lineage: Eukaryota; Viridiplantae; Streptophyta; Magnoliopsida; Poales; Poaceae.